RNAcentral lists this ribosomal RNA (465 nucleotides) under Vreelandella stevensii. Its description in RNAcentral is "partial 16S ribosomal RNA". It matches the Rfam family "Bacterial small subunit ribosomal RNA", at positions 338 to 795 of the family's 1533-position model. The record is from RNAcentral. Lineage: Bacteria; Pseudomonadati; Pseudomonadota; Gammaproteobacteria; Oceanospirillales; Halomonadaceae.
CCUACGGGUGGCUGCAGUGGGGAAUAUUGGACAAUGGGGGCAACCCUGAUCCAGCCAUGCCGCGUGUGUGAAGAAGGCCCUCGGGUUGUAAAGCACUUUCAGUGAGGAAGAACGCCUGGUGGUUAAUACCCAUCAGGAAAGACAUCACUCACAGAAGAAGCACCGGCUAACUCCGUGCCAGCAGCCGCGGUAAUACGGAGGGUGCGAGCGUUAAUCGGAAUUACUGGGCGUAAAGCGCGCGUAGGUGGCUUGAUAAGCCGGUUGUGAAAGCCCCGGGCUCAACCUGGGAACGGCAUCCGGAUCUGUCAAGCUAGAGUGCAGGAGAGGAAGGUAGAAUUCCCGGUGUAGCGGUGAAAUGCGUAGAGAUCGGGAGGAAUACCAGUGGCGAAGGCGGCCUUCUGGACUGACACUGACACUGAGGUGCGAAAGCGUGGGUAGCAAACAGGAUUAGAUACCCCAGUAGUC